UGCAAGUCGAGCGGAUGACGGGAGCUUGCUCCUUGAUUCAGCGGCGGACGGGUGAGUAAUGCCUAGGAAUCUGCCUGGUAGUGGGGGACAACGUUUCGAAAGGAACGCUAAUACCGCAUACGUCCUACGGGAGAAAGCAGGGGACCUUCGGGCCUUGCGCUAUCAGAUGAGCCUAGGUCGGAUUAGCUAGUUGGUGAGGUAAUGGCUCACCAAGGCGACGAUCCGUAACUGGUCUGAGAGGAUGAUCAGUCACACUGGAACUGAGACACGGUCCAGACUCCUACGGGAGGCAGCAGUGGGGAAUAUUGGACAAUGGGCGAAAGCCUGAUCCAGCCAUGCCGCGUGUGUGAAGAAGGUCUUCGGAUUGUAAAGCACUUUAAGUUGGGAGGAAGGGCAGUAAGCUAAUACCUUGCUGUUUUGACGUUACCGACAGAAUAAGCACCGGCUAACUCUGUGCCAGCAGCCGCGGUAAUACAGAGGGUGCAAGCGUUAAUCGGAAUUACUGGGCGUAAAGCGCGCGUAGGUGGUUUGUUAAGUUGGAUGU
RNAcentral lists this ribosomal RNA (544 nucleotides) under uncultured Pseudomonas sp. Its description in RNAcentral is "bacterial SSU rRNA". It matches the Rfam family "Bacterial small subunit ribosomal RNA", at positions 56 to 595 of the family's 1533-position model. Lineage: Bacteria; Pseudomonadati; Pseudomonadota; Gammaproteobacteria; Pseudomonadales; Pseudomonadaceae. The record is from RNAcentral.